Molecule: ribosomal RNA, 510 nt
Filed under: uncultured bacterium
Lineage: Bacteria
Description: bacterial SSU rRNA
Rfam family: Bacterial small subunit ribosomal RNA
Source: RNAcentral
UCUGGCUCAGAUGAACGCUGGCGGCAGGCCUAACACAUGCAAGUCGAACGGUAACAGGAAGAAGCUUGCUUCUUGCUGACGAGUGGCGGACGGGUGAGUAAUGUCUGGGAAACUGCCUGAUGGAGGGGGGAUAACUACUGGAAACGGUAGCUAAUACCGCAUAACGUCGCAAGACCAAAGAGGGGGACCUUCGGGCCUCUUGCCAUCGGAUGUGCCCAGAUGGGAUUAGCUUGUUGGUGGGGUAACGGCUCACCAAGGCGACGAUCCCUAGCUGGUCUGAGAGGAUGACCAGCCACACUGGAACUGAGACACGGUCCAGACUCCUACGGGAGGCAGCAGUGGGGAAUAUUGCACAAUGGGCGCAAGCCUGAUGCAGCCAUGCCGCGUGUAUGAAGAAGGCCUUCGGGUUGUAAAGUACUUUCAGCGGGGAGGAAGGGAGUAAAGUUAAUACCUUUGCUCAUUGACGUUACCCGCAGAAGAAGCACCGGCUAACUCCGUGCCAGCAGCAGC